AAGACCUUGCACUUUUGGAGCGGCCGAUGUCUGAUUAGCUAGUUGGUGGGGUAAUGGCCUACCAAAGCUUCGAUCAGUAGCUGGUCUGAGAGGACGGCCAGCCACACUGGGACUGAGACACGGCCCAGACUCCUACGGGAGGCAGCAGUGGGGAAUUUUGGACAAUGGGCGCAAGCCUGAUCCAGCCAUGCCGCGUGAGUGAAGAAGGCCUUCGGGUUGUAAAGCUCUUUCAGCCGGGAAGAAAAGGCUGCGACUAAUAAUCGCAGUUCAUGACGGUACCGGAAGAAGAAGCACCGGCUAACUACGUGCCAGCAGCCGCGGUAGUACGUAGGGUGCGAGCGUUAAUCGGAAUUACUGGGCGUAAAGGGUGCGCAGGCGGUUUUGUAAGUCAGAUGUGAAAUCCCCGGGCUUAACCUGGGAACU
This 423-nucleotide ribosomal RNA is filed under the name uncultured bacterium. Its description in RNAcentral is "bacterial SSU rRNA". It matches the Rfam family "Bacterial small subunit ribosomal RNA", at positions 207 to 622 of the family's 1533-position model. The record is from RNAcentral.